AACGAACGCUGGCGGCAGGCCUAACACAUGCAAGUCGAGCGGACCCUUCGGGGUUAGCGGCGGACGGGUGAGUAACGCGUGGGAAUAUGCCCUUCUCUACGGAAUAGUCCUGGGAAACUGGGGGUAAUACCGUAUACGCCCUUUGGGGGAAAGAUUUAUCGGGGAAGGAUUAGCCCGCGUUGGAUUAGGUAGUUGGUGGGGUAAUGGCCUACCAAGCCGACGAUCCGUAGCUGGUUUGAGAGGAUGAUCAGCCACACUGGGACUGAGACACGGCCCAGAGUCCUACGGGAGGCAGCAGUGGGGAAUCUUAGACAAUGGGGGCAACCCUGAUCUAGCCAUGCCGCGUGAGUGAUGAAGGCCUUAGGGUUGUAAAGCUCUUUCAGCUGGGAAGAUAAUGACGGUACCAGCAGAAGAAGCCCCGGCUAACUCCGUG
RNAcentral lists this ribosomal RNA (433 nucleotides) under uncultured bacterium. RNAcentral describes it as "partial 16S ribosomal RNA". It matches the Rfam family "Bacterial small subunit ribosomal RNA", at positions 29 to 507 of the family's 1533-position model. The record is from RNAcentral.